Molecule: ribosomal RNA, 306 nt
Filed under: Triticum aestivum (bread wheat)
Lineage: Eukaryota; Viridiplantae; Streptophyta; Magnoliopsida; Poales; Poaceae
Description: partial small subunit ribosomal RNA
Source: RNAcentral
AUGGGGAAUCUGCUCUGCGAUCAAUUGUGUCUACAUAGCGGCGUUGCACCUCCGGAGAUGUCGACACUAUGGUUGAAUAGGAGCUGGCCAUCAUCCUUUACAUCAGGUGAUCCGAGGUAUGAGCAUGAAUUUGAUUCUUCUAUUCUUCAUGUGCAUCCAUACUUAGUUCUUCCGCUCAUCAGUUUCCCCAAUUUGUCUGAAACCGGCAUUUGGGAAUAUGAAUGCCUGGAAGGGGAAUUGCUAAACCUAGGUUCACCUAUAUUUUUGGAUUUGGUUUCUCUUAUUGUUACUGUCGUUUGUAGCUAG